Non-coding RNA from Salmo salar (Atlantic salmon), 54 nucleotides. The record is from Rfam. NCBI's taxonomy places the organism in Eukaryota, Metazoa, Chordata, Actinopteri, Salmoniformes, Salmonidae.
GUAUGAAAAUACUGUAAGUCGCUCUGGAUAAGAGCGUCCGCUAAAUGACGUAAA